CCCUUAGAUGUCCUGGGCCGCACGCGCGCUACACUGAUGCAUUCAACGAGUUUUACCUUGGCCGAGAGGCCUGGGCAAUCUUUUAAACCUGCAUCGUGAUAGGGAUAGAUUAUUGCAAUUAUUAAUCUUGAACGAGGAAUUCCGAGUAAACGCAAAUCAUCAAUUUGCAUUGAUUACGUCCCUGCCCUUUGUACACACCGCCCGUCGCACCUACCGAUUGAAUGGUCCGGUGAAGCCUCGGGAUUGUGGCCAGUUCACUUUAUUGGGAGUUGGCUGUGAGAACUUGUCUAAACCUUAUCAUUUAGAGGAAGGUGAAGUCGUAACA
RNAcentral lists this ribosomal RNA (325 nucleotides) under uncultured eukaryote. RNAcentral describes it as "partial 18S ribosomal RNA". It matches the Rfam family "Eukaryotic small subunit ribosomal RNA", at positions 1470 to 1796 of the family's 1831-position model. The record is from RNAcentral.